Long non-coding RNA from Oncorhynchus tshawytscha (Chinook salmon), 4010 nucleotides. NCBI's taxonomy places the organism in Eukaryota, Metazoa, Chordata, Actinopteri, Salmoniformes, Salmonidae. The record is from Ensembl.
UUCUCUCUGUUCUCUCUGUCUCUCUGUUCUCUGUCUCUCUAUUCUCUCUGUCUCUCUGUUCUCUCUGUCUCUCUAUUCUCUGUCUCUCUGUCUCUCUGUUCUCUCUGUCUAUCUAUUCUCUCUCUCGCUCUCUAUUCUCUCUCUCUAUUCUCUCUGUCUCUCUGUUCUCUCUGUCUCUCUGUUCUCUCUGUCUCUCUAUUCUCUCUGUCUCUCUGUUCUCUCUGUCUCUCUAUUCUCUCUGUCUCUCUCCCUACGACAGUAGUGGCUGUAGGAUGCAAUUACUUAACGUUGUUCAUUGUGGUUUUAAUAUCUAUGAUUUCCCAGCUAUGUUUACCUGACUAGCUGAGCCGUGUACAGGAUAUACUGGAGGUCAAAAGGACUCUAUGGACACCUCUUCUGCACAUCUUACAACUACCGGUAUGCAACAUUGAAGGAAAAAAAUUGCCGACAAAUGCAUAUGCAUACACAGCUGCUCUAGGUUGACCCACUACUGUGAAAAUUAAGACCUUGCUAGAUUAUUUUUCAAAUAAUAUUUAUGACUUGUAUAUAGUUUACUUUACAUACAUACACACACAUACAUAUGAAGGUGGAAUUGUGGUUUACACUAAUCUGAGUAACGAAACAACACCAGUAAAAUAUAAAUUCUGUUUUUUUUUCAGCAAGUUUGAAAUUUAAUGAACAUAAACAAGUACAUAAGCUGCUAUUUCCAUCAUUUGUAAAAAGCCCCCCCCCCAAAAAAAAAGCUCCAGUAAUUUGCAAAAUAAAGAAAAAGCCAUAAAAACUCAAACAAAUAAAAAUAUUUGGCCUCCUUGUUGUGGUAAUAUCAACAAUAUAUUCCAUAUGUAUUGUAAUAUAUUACCAUUAAUCCACAUGUCUAUAAGGCACCAAACGCUAAAUGGCACAAUCAUAGAAUAACUUUAUUCACUAUAAUUGUGCAGAAAAUACAAAGACAUCCAGAUCAACAGAAACACUCAAUCACAAAUUGGAUCAAAGGAAAUAUACUGCCGACCAUUAUAUUGUGUUGUUUAUUGGUCUCCAUUCAACUGAUUUAGGUUUUUCUGUCAAAAUGUGGGGAAACUGUAGAUUUCUGUAAAACUUUUGAGUUCCUUCUGAAUUGACAGUCAUGAGCUGUCAUCACUUGGUGUUCUCGAUUAUGCCUCCAGUUCAACAAUAUGCUCCUCCUUCUUUCCUGAGAUCAAAUCAAAUCAAAUCAAAUUUUAUUUGUCACAUACACAUGGUUAGCAUGAGAUUCAGGAAACUGUGUUACCGUAGCUGAAAUACAAACGCGAUCAUGAAUCUAAAUGAAUAAUGAAUGGAUUAGGCAUCAAAUUAUAAUCCCAUCAUUCAUAAAUAGUAACUAUUUUUUCAGUACAUCAUUUCUCAUCCAUUAACACAACAGGCAUAUUUAAAAAAAUCUGAAGUAAAAAAAAAAAAAAAAAAUCUUUGACAAUGUUUGGUAUAUGAAUGUGUUUCAAGUGUAAAUAUAGCAGAUGUAACAAUCCGUUCUCAACACUGUUGUUAGCAUGAUAUAACAUGUAAUAUCACAAAAUUCAACAUCCACCAGGAUCACAUUACUGUUCUAAGACAGAUAUUGCAAAAAUAGUCAUAUGAAAUCACUGGUCACUGAAUGAUGCAAUAAAACUACAUGCUGCUCAUUUGCCUUCACUGUCUUCUAUGUUUGGGGUGGCAGGUAGCCUAGUGGUUUAAACCAGGUAGCCUAGUGGUUUAAACCAGGUAGCCUAGGGGUUAAGAGCAGGUAGCCUAGUGGUUUAAACCAGGUAGCCUAGGGGUUAAGAGCAGGUAGCCUAGUGGUUUAAACCAGGUAGCCUAGGGGUUAAGAGCAGGUAGCCUAGUGGUUUAAACCAGGUAGCCUAGGGGUUAAGAGCAGGUAGCCUAGUGGUUUAAACCAGGUAGCCUAGUGGUUUAGAGCAGGUAGCCUAGUGGUUUAAACCAGGUAGCCCAGCGGUUAAGAGCAGGUAGCCUAGGGGUUAAGAGCAGGUAGCCUAGGGGUUGAGAGCAGGUAGCCUAGCGGUUAAGAGCAGGUAGCCCAGUGGUUAAGAGCAGGUGGCCUAGUGGUUUAAACCAGGUAGCCAAGCGGUUAAGAGCAGGUAGCCUAGGGGUUAAGAGCAGGUAGCCUAGCGGUUAAGAGCAGGUAGCUUAAUGGUUUGAACCAGGUAGCCUAGCGGUUAAGAGCAGGUAGCCUAGAGGUUAAGAGAAGGAGGCCUAGCGGAUAAGAGCAGGUAGCCUAGCAGUUAAAAAUAGGUAGCCUAGCGGUUAAGAGCAGGUAGCCUGUUGGUUAAAAGCAGGAAGCCUAGCAGUGGGCCGGCAGGUAGCCUAGGGGUUAAGAGCAGGUAGCCUACUGGUUAAGAGCAGGUAGCCUAGAGGUUAAGAGCAGGUAGCCUAGCGGUGGGGCGGCAGGUUGCCUCGCAGUAAAAAGAAGGUAGCCUAGCGGUUAAGAGCAGGUAGCCUAGCAGUUAACAGCAUGUAGCCUAGCGGUUAAGAGCAGGUUGACUAGCGGUUAAGAGCAGGUAGGCUAGUGGUUAAGAGCAGGUAGGCUAGCGGUUAAGAGCAGGUAGGCUAGUGGUUAAGAGCAGGUUGACUAGCGGUUAAGAGCAGGUAGGCUAGUGGUUAAGAGCGGGUAGGCUAUUGGUUAAGAGCAGGUAGGCUAGCGGUUAAGAGCAGGUAGCCUAUUGGUUAAGAGCAGGUAGCCUAGAGGUUAAGAGCAGGUAGGCUAGUGGUUAAGAGCAGGUAGGCUAGUGGUUAAGAGCAGGUAGCCUAAUGGUUAAGAUCAGGUAGGCUAGGGGUUAAUAGCAGGUAGCCUAGCGGUUAACAGUAGGUAGCCUAGCGGAUAAGAGCACUGAGCCUUGCAAUUGAGAGAAGGUAGCCUAGCGCUUAAGAGUAGAUAGCCUGAAGGUUUAGAGAAGGUAGCCUAGCUGUAAAUCAGCAGGUAGCCUAGCGGCUAUGAGCAGGUAGCCUAGGAUUUAAGAUCAGGUAGCCUAUUGGUUAAGAGCAGGUAGCCUAGAGGUUAAGAGCAGGUAGUCUAGGGAUUAAGAGCAAGUAGCCUAGCAUUUAAGAGCAGGUAGUCUAGGUGUUAAGAGCAGGUAGCCUAGCGGUUAAGAGUAGGUAGCCUAGCAUUUAAGAGCCGGUAGCCUAGGUGUUAAGAGUAGGUAGCCUAGCGGUUAAGAGCAGGUAGCCUAGCGGGUAACAGCAGGUAGCCUAGCGGAUAAGAGCCGGUAGCCUAGCAGUUAAGAGCAGGUAGCCUAGUGGUGGGGCGGCAGGUUGCCUAGAGGUUAAGAGCAGGUAGCCUAGCGGUUAAGAGCAGGCAGCCUGAAGGUUUAGAGAAGGUAGCCUAGCGGUUAAGAGUAGGAAGCCUAGCGGAUAAGAGCAGUUAGCCAAGCGGUUAAGAGUAGGUAGCCUAGCGGAUAAGAGCAGUUAGCCAAGCGGUUAAGAGUAGGUAGCCUAGCGGAUAAGAGCAGUUAGCCAAGUGGUUAAGAGUAGGUAGCCUAGCGGAUAAGAGUAGGUAGCCUAGCGGUUAAGAGUAGGUAGCCUAGCGGAUAAGAGCAGUUAGCCAAGCGGUUAAGAGUAGGUAGCCUAGCGGAUAAGAGCAGUUAGCCAAGUGGUUAAGAGUAGGUAGCCUAGCGGUGGGGCGGCAGGUAGCCUAGCAGUUAAGAGUGUUGGGCCAGUAACCGAAAGGUCGCUGGUUUGAAUUACCUGAGCCAACUGGGUGAAUAAUCUGUCGAUGUGCCCUUGAGCAAGGCACUGAAUGUUAACUGCUCCUGUAAGUCACUCUGGAUUAGAGCGUCUGCUAAAUUAUGUAAAUGUAUUUAUUUACCUAUAUUUGUUACAAUAACGUCAAAUAUAUUUAAACUGUAAAAUCAUUAGUGAUGAAAAAAAAUGACCUGUGAUUUACAGUAAUUUUUUAUCAGAUUGGUUGGUGUCCAGUAUGACCUAUAUCAAUGUUCAGAGUGGUUGGUGUCCAGUAUGACCUAUAUCAAUGUUCAGAGUGGUUG